RNAcentral lists this ribosomal RNA (449 nucleotides) under uncultured bacterium. RNAcentral describes it as "bacterial SSU rRNA". It matches the Rfam family "Bacterial small subunit ribosomal RNA", at positions 328 to 794 of the family's 1533-position model. The record is from RNAcentral.
AUUCCAGACUCCUACGGGAGGCAGCAGUGGGGAAUAUUGCACAAUGGGGGAAACCCUGAUGCAGCGACGCCGCGUGAGCGAUGAAGUAUUUCGGUAUGUAAAGCUCUAUCAGCAGGGAAGAAAAUGACGGUACCUGACUAAGAAGCCCCGGCUAACUACGUGCCAGCAGCCGCGGUAAUACGUAGGGGGCAAGCGUUAUCCGGAUUUACUGGGUGUAAAGGGAGCGUAGACGGCGAUGCAAGCCAGAUGUGAAAGCCCGGGGCUCAACCCCGGGACUGCAUUUGGAACUGUAUAGCUAGAGUGUCGGAGAGGCAGGCGGAAUUCCUAGUGUAGCGGUGAAAUGCGUAGAUAUUAGGAGGAACACCAGUGGCGAAGGCGGCCUGCUGGACGAUGACUGACGUUGAGGCUCGAAAGCGUGGGGAGCAAACAGGAUUAGAUACCCCGGUAAU